GGCUUGGUUCAAGGUGCAGUGUGGUGUUUCACACCAACUGAUCAAGCAUUACAGAUUUCUUUGUUCCUUUUCUACUCCCACUGCUUCACUUGACUAGCCAUAU
This 103-nucleotide Y RNA is filed under the name Pan troglodytes (chimpanzee). It matches the Rfam family "Y RNA". Rfam says of the family: Y RNAs are components of the Ro ribonucleoprotein particle (Ro RNP), in association with Ro60 and La proteins. The Y RNAs and Ro60 and La proteins are well conserved, but the function of the Ro RNP is not known. In humans the RNA component can be one of four small RNAs -- hY1, hY3, hY4 and hY5. The record is from Rfam by way of RNAcentral. Lineage: Eukaryota; Metazoa; Chordata; Mammalia; Primates; Hominidae.